CGUGUAGGCGGCCGAUCAAGUCGGGUGUGAAAUCCCUCGGCUCAACCGAGGAAUUGCACUCGAUACUGGUUGGCUAGAGUCCGGGAGGGGGUGGCGGAAUUCCCAGUGUAGCGGUGAAAUGCGUAGAUAUUGGGAAGAACACCGGUAGCGAAGGCGGCCACCUGGACCGGAACUGACGCUGAGGCGCGAAAGCCAGGGGAGCGAAUG
RNAcentral lists this ribosomal RNA (207 nucleotides) under uncultured bacterium. Its description in RNAcentral is "partial 16S ribosomal RNA". It matches the Rfam family "Bacterial small subunit ribosomal RNA", at positions 568 to 774 of the family's 1533-position model. The record is from RNAcentral.